RNAcentral lists this ribosomal RNA (780 nucleotides) under uncultured bacterium. Its description in RNAcentral is "bacterial SSU rRNA". It matches the Rfam family "Bacterial small subunit ribosomal RNA", at positions 61 to 836 of the family's 1533-position model. The record is from RNAcentral.
GUCGAGCGGAUGAAGAGAGCUUGCUCUCUGAUUCAGCGGCGGACGGGUGAGUAAUGCCUAGGAAUCUGCCUGAUAGUGGGGGACAACGUUUCGAAAGGAACGCUAAUACCGCAUACGUCCUAAGGGAGAAAGCAGGGGACCUUCGGGCCUUGCGCUAUCAGAUGAGCCUAGGUCGGAUUAGCUAGUUGGUGAGGUAAUGGCUCACCAAGGCGACGAUCCGUAACUGGUCUGAGAGGAUGAUCAGUCACACUGGAACUGAGACACGGUCCAGACUCCUACGGGAGGCAGCAGUGGGGAAUAUUGGACAAUGGGCGGAAGCCUGAUCCAGCCAUGCCGCGUGUGUGAAGAAGGUCUUCGGAUUGUAAAGCACUUUAAGUUGGGAGGAAGGGCAUUAACCUAAUACGUUAGUGUUUUGACGUUACCGACAGAAUAAGCACCGGCUAACUUCGUGCCAGCAGCCGCGGUAAUACGAAGGGUGCAAGCGUUAAUCGGAAUUACUGGGCGUAAAGCGCGCGUAGGUGGUUUGUUAAGUUGAAUGUGAAAGCCCCGGGCUCAACCUGGGAACUGCAUCCAAAACUGGCAAGCUAGAGUAUGGCAGAGGGUGGUGGAAUUUCCUGUGUAGCGGUGAAAUGCGUAGAUAUAGGAAGGAACACCAGUGGCGAAGGCGACCACCUGGGCUAAUACUGACACUGAGGUGCGAAAGCGUGGGGAGCAAACAGGAUUAGAUACCCUGGUAGUCCACGCCGUAAACGAUGUCGACUAGCCGUUGGGAUCCUUGAG